RNAcentral lists this ribosomal RNA (216 nucleotides) under Glomeromycotina sp. RNAcentral describes it as "partial small subunit ribosomal RNA". The stretch from base 40 to 216 matches the Rfam family "Eukaryotic small subunit ribosomal RNA", at positions 686 to 864 of the family's 1831-position model. The record is from RNAcentral. Lineage: Eukaryota; Fungi; Glomeromycota.
GGGUCAUUAGGUUGGUCGUGCCACCGGUACGUACUGGUCUCACUGAUUCCUCCUUCCUGAAGAACCGUAAUGCCAUUAAUUUGGUGUUGCGGGGAAACAGGACUGUUACUUUGAAAAAAUUAGAGUGUUUAAAGCAAGCUAACGCUUGAAUACAUUAGCAUGGGAUAAUGAAAUAGGACGAUCGAUCCUAUUUUGUUGGUUUCUAGGAUUGACGUA